Molecule: ribosomal RNA, 492 nt
Filed under: uncultured bacterium
Lineage: Bacteria
Description: partial 16S ribosomal RNA
Rfam family: Bacterial small subunit ribosomal RNA
Source: RNAcentral
AGUGAACGCUGGCGGUAGGCCUAACACAUGCAAGUCGAACGGCAGCUCAGUAAGAGCUUGCUCUUACGGGUGGCGAGUGGCGGACGGGUGAUGAAUACAUCGGAAUCUACUUUUUCGUGGGUGAUAACGUAGGGAAACUUACGCUAAUACCGCAUACGACCUACGGGUGAAAGCAUGGGAUCUUCCGACCUUGCGCGAUUGUAUGAGCCGAUGUCGGAUUAGCUGGUUGGCGGGGUAAAGGCCCACCAAGGCGACGAUCCGUAGCUGGUCUGAGAGGAUGAUCAGCCACACUGGAACUGAGACACGGUCCAGACUCCUACGGGAGGCAGCAGUGGGGAAUAUUGGACAAUGGGCGCAAGCCUGAUCCAGCCAUACCGCGUGGGUGAAGAAGGCCUUCGGGUUGUAAAGCCCUUUUGUUGGGAAAGAAAAGCAGCAGGUUAAUACCCCGCUGUUCUGACGGUACCCAAAGAAUAAGCACCGGCUAACUUCGUG